RNAcentral lists this ribosomal RNA (677 nucleotides) under Pseudoceros velutinus. RNAcentral describes it as "partial large subunit ribosomal RNA". It matches the Rfam family "Eukaryotic large subunit ribosomal RNA", at positions 467 to 1115 of the family's 3401-position model. Lineage: Eukaryota; Metazoa; Platyhelminthes; Polycladida; Pseudocerotidae. The record is from RNAcentral.
GCACAGUACUGCACNNUGGNCGAUANUGCCUGCCAUUAGGCUCAUANGGUGGUUAUUUUACAAGCGAGUUUNGAUGUCUMUANGUCRGCAGAGGCGUUAGGCUCUGUCUGCAUUAUAGCUGUCCUCUAUGAUNGGCACUGGUAAGUCUGUGGUUGUGAAGUAGGUAGUCCWSCUGRCCCGUCUYGAAACACGGACCAAGGAGUCUAACAUGUGCGCGAGUCAGWKGAUUCUCAAACCMAUAAAUGGCGCAGUGAAGGUAAAGAUCUGUUGUGACAGAUUAAGGUGGGAAGCUGGGUGAAGCGCCCAGCCGCACUACCGGCCCGUUCUACAUGUAUCUCAUGGGGGCGGAGCAAGAGCGUACACGUUGGGACCCGAAAGAUGGUGAACUAUGCUUGCGCAGGUCGAAGCCAGAGGAAACUCUGGUGGAGGACCGCAGCGAUUCUGACGUGCAAAUCGAUCGUCAAACGUGAGUAUAGGGGCGAAAGACUAAUCGAACCAUCUAGUAGCUGGUUCCCUUCGAAGUUUCCCUCAGGAUAGCUGGCACUCGGGAAACGAAACAGUUUUAUCCGGUAAAGCGAAUGAUUAGAGGUAUUGGGACGAAGUUGCUCUCAACCUAUUCUCAAACUUUAAAUGGGUAAGAUGCUCGACUCGCUCAAUNGGAGCCGGGCUUUGCUGAA